RNAcentral lists this ribosomal RNA (420 nucleotides) under uncultured bacterium. Its description in RNAcentral is "bacterial SSU rRNA". It matches the Rfam family "Bacterial small subunit ribosomal RNA", at positions 361 to 772 of the family's 1533-position model. The record is from RNAcentral.
AUCUUGCACAAUGGGGGCAACCCUGAUGCAGCGAUGCCGCGUGAGUGAAGAAGGCCUUCGGGUUGUAAAGCUCUUUCGAUUGGGAAGAAGGGUUUUUAAGUGAAUAAUUUAAGAAUCUGACGGUACCUAGAGAAGAAGCACCGGCUAACUCCGUGCCAGCAGCCGCGGUAAUACGAAGGGUGCAAGCGUUACUCGGAAUUACUGGGCGUAAAGCGUGCGUAGGUGGUUUGUUAAGUCUGAUGUGAAAGCCCUGGGCUCAACCUGGGAAUGGCAUUGGAUACUGGCAGGCUAGAGUGCGGUAGAGGGUAGUGGAAUUCCCGGUGUAGCAGUGAAAUGCGUAGAGAUCGGGAGGAACAUCUGUGGCGAAGGCGACUACCUGGACCAGCACUGACACUGAGGCACGAAAGCGUGGGGAGCAAA